Molecule: transfer RNA, 72 nt
Filed under: Bos taurus (domestic cattle)
Lineage: Eukaryota; Metazoa; Chordata; Mammalia; Artiodactyla; Bovidae
Also listed under: 1 other name
Rfam family: tRNA
About the family: Transfer RNA (tRNA) molecules are approximately 80 nucleotides in length. Their secondary structure includes four short double-helical elements and three loops (D, anti-codon, and T loops).
Source: Rfam by way of RNAcentral
UCCCUGGUGGCUUAGAGGGUAAAGCGUCUGCCUACAAUGCGGGAGACCCGGGUUCAGUUCCUGGGUUGGGAA